This 620-nucleotide ribosomal RNA is filed under the name Porpidia flavocaerulescens. RNAcentral describes it as "LSU rRNA". It matches the Rfam family "Eukaryotic large subunit ribosomal RNA", at positions 32 to 667 of the family's 3401-position model. Lineage: Eukaryota; Fungi; Ascomycota; Lecanoromycetes; Lecideales; Lecideaceae. The record is from RNAcentral.
ACUUAAGCAUAUCAAUAAGCGGAGGAAAAGAAACCAACAGGGAUUGCCUCAGUAACGGCGAGUGAAGCGGCAACAGCUCAAAUUUGAAAUCUGACCCCUUCGGGGCCCGAGUUGUAAUUUGUAGAGGACGCUUCGGGUGCGGCGCCGGUCUAAGUUCCUUGGAACAGGACGUCAUAGAGGGUGAGAAUCCCGUAUGCGACCGGCGGUCAACCUCAUGUGAAGCCCCUUCGACGAGUCGAGUUGUUUGGGAAUGCAGCUCAAAAUGGGUGGUAAAUUUCAUCUAAAGCUAAAUACCGGCCAGAGACCGAUAGCGCACAAGUAGAGUGAUCGAAAGAUGAAAAGCACUUUGGAAAGAGAGUCAAACAGUACGUGAAAUUGUUGAAAGGGAAGCGCUUGCAACCAGACCUGCCCGCGGGCGAUCAGCCGUUAUUCUUAGCGGUGCACUCGUCCGCGAUCAGGCCAGCAUCGGUUCGGGCGGCCGGAUAAAGGCUUCGGGAAUGUAGCUCCCCCCGGGGAGUCUUAUAGCCCGGGGUGCAAUGCGGCCAGCCCGGACCGAGGACCGCGCUUCGGCUAGGAUGCUGGCGUAAUGGUUGUAAGCGACCCGUCUUGAAACACGGACC